This 405-nucleotide ribosomal RNA is filed under the name uncultured prokaryote. RNAcentral describes it as "bacterial SSU rRNA". It matches the Rfam family "Bacterial small subunit ribosomal RNA", at positions 355 to 774 of the family's 1533-position model. The record is from RNAcentral.
UGGGGGAUAUUGCACAAUGGAGGAAACUCUGAUGCAGCGACGCCGCGUGAGGGAAGAAGGUCUUCGGAUUGUAAACCUCUGUCUUCAGGGACGAAGAAAGUGACGGUACCUGAAGAGGAAGCCACGGCUAACUACGUGCCAGCAGCCGCGGUAAUACGUAGGUGGCGAGCGUUGUCCGGAAUUACUGGGGGUAAAGGGUGCGCAGGCGGGACGACAAGUUGGAUGUGAAAUCUCCCGGCUCAACUGGGAGGAGGCAUUCAAAACUGUUGUUCUUGAGUGAGGUAGGGGCUGGCGAAAUUCCCGGGGUAGCGGUGAAAUGCGUAGAUAUCGGGAGGAACACCAGUGGCGAAGGCGGCCAGCUGGGCCUUUACUGACGCUGAGGCACGAAAGCAUGGGUAGCAAACA